This 2639-nucleotide unclassified non-coding RNA is filed under the name Aplysia californica (California sea hare). RNAcentral describes it as "serine/arginine-rich splicing factor 2, transcript variant X1". Lineage: Eukaryota; Metazoa; Mollusca; Gastropoda; Aplysiida; Aplysiidae. The record is from RNAcentral.
CAGGACACGCCGCCGGAAGAGUCCAUACAGACGAGCUUGCUAAAAUACAAUAACUUUCAAAUUCAAGUGUCUCCGACUCGACUCCGAGGAUUUUAUCGUGUCCUUUGUGCACCGACAGUACCUGCACGACGAUGAGCAGCUAUGGUAGAGGGCCUCCCAGCAUCGAUGGGAUGGUGUCGCUGAAAGUAGAUAAUUUAACUUACAGAACCACCCCAGAAGAUUUGCGGCGUGCGUUCGAAAAGUAUGGCGACGUUGGAGAUGUGUACAUUCCUCGGGAUAGAUUUACCAGAGAAAGCAGAGGAUUUGCUUUUGUUCGUUUUUAUGACAAGCGAGAUGCUGAAGAUGCAAUGGAUUCUAUGGAUGGUGCACUCUUAGAUGGAAGAGAAGUCCGAUGUCAAAUGGCACGUUAUGGAAGACCCUCAGAGCCUCACAGACGUGGGCCUCCCAGACGCGGUAGCUACGGAAGGCGGGGACGUUCCAGGUCCCGUUCACCAAGAAGGAGGCGUAGAUCCAGGAGCAGGUCCGGCAGUCGCUCACAAAGUCGUUCUCAAAGCCGCUCUCGCAGUCGGAGUCGUGGAAGGAAUGCCUCCAGGAGCAGAUCUCGGUCCUAUGAGCAGAAUGGAGCAGAAGCCUCAGAUUGACUUCCACAGUUGCAGCAGUGAAGCCUUCUAAUCUCUCAAUGGGGAGACAGCCUUGCCCAUGCAUCUGCCCUGCUGAAAAAGGAGCAGUAAAUGCGGGUUAAUUAGUUGCUGUGGCAGUCAUGGUGCAGUGCUGGUUCGCUGUUACUGUUGCUGCGGUGUUGCGGGUGAUAGCUGUUGCUGUCGGGCUAGCAGUAAAGGGUUGCAGUAUGCAGUGGCUGUUGCGGUGGGGUGGAGUUGAGAAUGCUGGAGGAGAGCGAGCAGGUGUUGCUGUUAAUGCGUGGCCCAGCGACCAGAAAUUGCUGUCGGUGCCGUAUCCAGCCUGCUGUGGCCAGGAAAUGGUGGUGCAUCAUCUCAUCGUUUCAUACAUGUGUCUACUCAUUCAUUUUAUUCACACAUCAGUCAAAAAAUUUUAAAACAUUUUAACCCAUUUUUUCCUCUUUCUUCCCCACAAACAUUAAUUCAUUCUCUUUUUUCUCUCUCUCUCUUUCUCUCUCUCUCUCUCUCUCUCUCUCUCUCUCUCUCUCUCUCUCAAGGUUAAAUCUUUCGAUCCAUCGUUUGGUGUUUUUUUUACCGUAAAAUUGGUCAUGAAAUAAACGUCCCAUACGGCAACUACAUUUUAAUGAAGUAAUUAUCAGACAGAUGAGAGUAAAUAUUUUAGACUGACUUUAUUUAGUGUGUUUUAAAAAAGUGUUGUUCUCACUUCAAUGUCCACGCCCAUUAUAAGUUCCCAAGUUUAAUCGGUUUAUAGUUGGAUGUGAAAUGAAUUUGUCAACGUUAUUUUUCUAGUUAAUGUACUGUAGUCUCCACCUAAACUCACUGUGCUCUGGAGCAUUCCUAGGCGUGUCGAUAUAAUAUGGGUACAUAACACUUUGAAUGAGGGGUAGAGGGAAAAUACAACAAAAAGACCUUCUCACUGUCAUGUCUGGAACAGAUAGGAAGAAACUGUGAUAGUCAAGAGAAGAACGCUCAGCCACGCGGCCUUAACGACCACUUCAGACUACCUGUCGUCUAUUGCAACUCAGUUAGCUUAUGGUGACAUCGUAAUCAUACACUUUGGGAUACUUUCCUCUCUGGUGAUUCAUUGAGUGCGUUGAUUCUUCAAGCGCAUCUGAUCACUUAACUAAACUUAGUUCCUAUAGUGUUCUGUCGCAUUUACUAGUGUUACGUAUUACGCAUAUUUUUAUUUUAUAGGCCUACCUAAACAAAGUUACCCAAACACCAGUGAGAGACCUUUUCACAAAGAUGCAGUUUGGGUGACCCAACCGAGUUUCUUCCCCAAAACAUAUCACUAUCUCAGUCCUCUAUUAACUUAUGUGUCCAUCAACAGUAAGGUGGGUUAAUGCUCUCCAUCGCUCUGUUUUCUGCACGAGGGGUAGCCUCUCCUAAUAAUACUAAUAUCCGAUUGUCUGGACUUGUUUUGCAAGCUAUGUAGGCUGCAGCAAAAGUUACCCUUGUCAAGCUUUCCCUUACUUGUCAACGUGUUUCACGGGUCAAAGCGUGCAUUAAGAAGUGACUGCAUUUGUAUUUCUAAAUUAUAAAUCCCGUCAUAUGGCAAUAGCAUGCGUUUGAGCAGAGCGUGCCUUUGUAUGGCGUGUGUUUUAGUGGAGACUACUGUACUCGUGGGAGACCCUCUCGAUAUGAGUCUACCAAUGUACCAAGUGUAUGAUUUUUUGCACUCUCUCAUGAGGGCUGGAUUUGUGUUGAAACAGAAUGUGAUACUGAUACACAUGUGAACGUUCACAGCCGUGAUGGCUUCAGUAUUUUCUGUAAAAGUAAAUCAGAUCAAUUCUGUCUUCCUUUCUAAUGAAUGUGGAUCUAGUUCAUUUUGGGAGUAUUAGGUUCAAACCAGUACCAGUCUUAAUGGGUUCCGUAAUGAGAGUUCCAGCAGGUGAGGGGUUUGACAUGUUACAAUACAAUCUACUGUUGUCUUAAUCCCCUUUUUUUUGUUACAGGUUGAGCUGAGAUCUUUUUAUGUAAUAAAAUAAAUUUGUAUGAAAA